This 1608-nucleotide ribosomal RNA is filed under the name Salmonella enterica subsp. enterica serovar Tennessee. RNAcentral's name for it is "partial 23S ribosomal RNA". It matches the Rfam family "Bacterial large subunit ribosomal RNA", at positions 1213 to 2802 of the family's 2925-position model. The record is from RNAcentral. Lineage: Bacteria; Pseudomonadati; Pseudomonadota; Gammaproteobacteria; Enterobacterales; Enterobacteriaceae.
GCUUAUGCGUUGUUGGGUAGGGGAGCGUUCUGUAAGCCUGUGAAGGUGUGUCGUGAGGCAUGCUGGAGGUAUCAGAAGUGCGAAUGCUGACAUAAGUAACGAUAAAGCGGGUGAAAAGCCCGCUCGCCGGAAGACCAAGGGUUCCUGUCCAACGUUAAUCGGGGCAGGGUGAGUCGACCCCUAAGGCGAGGCCGAAAGGCGUAGUCGAUGGGAAACGGGUUAAUAUUCCCGUACUUGGUGUUACUGCGAAGGGGGGACGGAGAAGGCUAUGUUGGCCGGGCGACGGUUGUCCCGGUUUAAGCGUGUAGGUGUGUGUUCCAGGUAAAUCCGGUUCACUUUAACACUGAGGCGUGAUGACGAGGCACUACGGUGCUGAAGCAACAAAUGCCCUGCUUCCAGGAAAAGCCUCUAAGCAUCAGGUAACAUCAAAUCGUACCCCAAACCGACACAGGUGGUCAGGUAGAGAAUACCAAGGCGCUUGAGAGAACUCGGGUGAAGGAACUAGGCAAAAUGGUGCCGUAACUUCGGGAGAAGGCACGCUGACACGUAGGUGAAGUGAUUUACUCAUGGAGCUGAAGUCAGUCGAAGAUACCAGCUGGCUGCAACUGUUUAUUAAAAACACAGCACUGUGCAAACACGAAAGUGGACGUAUACGGUGUGACGCCUGCCCGGUGCCGGAAGGUUAAUUGAUGGGGUCAGCGCAAGCGAAGCUCCUGAUCGAAGCCCCGGUAAACGGCGGCCGUAACUAUAACGGUCCUAAGGUAGCGAAAUUCCUUGUCGGGUAAGUUCCGACCUGCACGAAUGGCGUAAUGAUGGCCAGGCUGUCUCCACCCGAGACUCAGUGAAAUUGAACUCGCUGUGAAGAUGCAGUGUACCCGCGGCAAGACGGAAAGACCCCGUGAACCUUUACUAUAGCUUGACACUGAACAUUGAGCCUUGAUGUGUAGGAUAGGUGGGAGGCUUUGAAGUGUGGACGCCAGUCUGCAUGGAGCCGGCCUUGAAAUACCACCCUUUAAUGUUUGAUGUUCUAACGUGGACCCGUGAUCCGGGUUGCGGACAGUGUCUGGUGGGUAGUUUGACUGGGGCGGUCUCCUCCUAAAGAGUAACGGAGGAGCACGAAGGUUGGCUAAUCCUGGUCGGACAUCAGGAGGUUAGUGCAAUGGCAUAAGCCAGCUUGACUGCGAGCGUGACGGCGCGAGCAGGUGCGAAAGCAGGUCAUAGUGAUCCGGUGGUUCUGAAUGGAAGGGCCAUCGCUCAACGGAUAAAAGGUACUCCGGGGAUAACAGGCUGAUACCGCCCAAGAGUUCAUAUCGACGGCGGUGUUUGGCACCUCGAUGUCGGCUCAUCACAUCCUGGGGCUGAAGUAGGUCCCAAGGGUAUGGCUGUUCGCCAUUUAAAGUGGUACGCGAGCUGGGUUUAGAACGUCGUGAGACAGUUCGGUCCCUAUCUGCCGUGGGCGCUGGAGAACUGAGGGGGGCUGCUCCUAGUACGAGAGGACCGGAGUGGACGCAUCACUGGUGUUCGGGUUGUCAUGCCAAUGGCACUGCCCGGUAGCUAAAUGCGGAAGAGAUAAGUGCUGAAAGCAUCUAAGCACGAAACUUGCCCCGA